This 408-nucleotide ribosomal RNA is filed under the name uncultured bacterium. RNAcentral describes it as "partial 16S ribosomal RNA". It matches the Rfam family "Bacterial small subunit ribosomal RNA", at positions 28 to 526 of the family's 1533-position model. The record is from RNAcentral.
GACGAACGCUGGCGGCGUGCUUAACACAUGCAAGUCGCACGAAGUGGUGAACGGGUGAGUAACGCGUAAUCAACCUGCCCUUCAGUGGGGGACAACAGUUGGAAACGACUGCUAAUACCGCAUACUGAAGGAGGGGAUUGAGUCUGCUUGGGUAGUUGGAGGGGUAACGGCCCACCAAGGCGAUGAUCAGUAGCCGGUCUGGUAGGAGGAACGGCCACAGUGGGACUGGGACACGGCCCAGACUCCUACGGGAGGCAGCAGUGGGGAAUCUUCCGCAAUGGACGAAAGUCUGACGGAGCAACGCCGCGUGAGGGAUGACGGCCUUCGGGUUGUAAAGCUCUGUUAAUCGGGACGCGGUACCGGAAUAGAAAGCCACGGCUAACUACGUGCCAGCAGCCGCGGUAAUUC